GAUGAAGAACGCAGCGAAAUGCGAUAAGUAAUGUGAAUUGCAGAAUUCAGUGAAUCAUCGAAUCUUUGAACGCAUCUUGCGCUCCUUGGUAUUCUGAGGAGCAUGCCUGUUUGAGUGUCAUUAAAUUCUCAACUACACUGACUUUGAAUUGGUGUGGCUUGGAUUUGGGGGGAAAAUUGUUGUGGGCUUUUUGUAUAGUCUGCUCCCCUGAAAUUGAUUAGCGGUACCUUUGUGGAACUGUCUACAGGUGUGAUAAUUAUCUGCAUCUGCUGGAAUGCUGCUUUCUAAACCUUACUUGUAUUGACAAUCUUGACCUCAAAUCAGGUAGGACUACCCGCUGAACUUAAGCAUAUCAUAAGCGGAGGA
Molecule: unclassified non-coding RNA, 366 nt
Filed under: soil metagenome
Description: partial contains 5.8S ribosomal RNA, internal transcribed spacer 2, and large subunit ribosomal RNA
Rfam family: 5.8S ribosomal RNA (bases 1-120)
Source: RNAcentral